This 175-nucleotide small RNA is filed under the name Bacillus cereus. RNAcentral describes it as "Manganese sequence". It matches the Rfam family "Manganese Mn2+ riboswitch aptamer (yybP-ykoY)". From Rfam's summary of the family: This RNA was originally discovered in E. coli during a large scale screen and was named SraF. Lineage: Bacteria; Bacillati; Bacillota; Bacilli; Caryophanales; Bacillaceae. The record is from RNAcentral.
CAUAUCUCCAAAGGGGAGUAGCGUCCAAGAAUAUUUCUUGGAAACAAAGUCGUCAUUACGUAGAACUUAGUUCUUCCGGCUUUGUUGGCAUUUUUUAUUACAUAUGUCUAGCAAGACCUUUGCCUAUUAACGGCAGAGGUCUUUUUUGCAUUCACUUCCAGAUUCUUCCAAAGUU